GUAUCAAUGGACACAAUCAGGUAGAUGUAUCAAUGGACACAAUCAGGUAGACGUGUCAAUGGACACAAUCAGGUAGAUGUAUCAAUGGACACAAUCAGGUAGAUGUAUCAAUGGACACAAUCAGGUAGACGUAUCAAUGGACACAAUCAGGUAGAUGUAUCAAUGGACACAAUCAGGUAGAUGUAUCAAUGGACACAAUCAGGUAGACGUAUCAAUGGACACAAUCAGGUAGAUGUAUCAAUGGACACAAUCAGUAGACAAAUCAAUUUAUAAACUUCUAUGAAUGGGAGAUAAGGAAAUACAAAUGUUGUUAUCAAUGCUGAUUAUCAAAACUAUUGAUGGGAAAAAAACCUAACUUUAAUAACAAUGAAGAAAAUAUCUACAAAGUAUUUUGUCAUUUUUAAAAUAUUUUUGCAUGCAUGGUAAUAUAACUAUUUACAAAAGAAACAAAAUCAAUAUAUACAACCCUAUCUUUAACUGUAUAUAAAAAUAUCACAAUAUAUGAUACAUUGACCAUAUGCAAAAACUACACUACCUGAAUAUCUUUCUGACAUGUUUGUGCCCUUUUUUUUUCAUUUCUAAAUUUGUUUGAAGCAGCUAGCGAAUUCUAAUCCAUAACCUCUUUGAUAAAAACACUUCAAUUUUAAAAUGCACAUUAUUCUAAAUUAAGCAGCAUUGUAAAGUAGUUCAAGUUACAUUAUUCCUUUUGGUCUUGUGAAUUAAAACUGGCUUUGAACUUCUUGUUGUUAUACAACUAUACAAAAUUAUAGCUACAGUGAUAUUAUAAGUUUUGCCUUGGGGUGUACUAGGGUUACUUCAGGGUGUUAAAAUACCCAUAUCUGCAGAUAUGAAUGCAGAUUACAAAUUUAUCCCCGGUCUUAAAUGAAUCGGGAAAUUCAGGCACAAAGUGUAACGUGAAAGCAAUGUUUUUUUUAUUAUUUAAAAAAGUUUAGUUGAAAUUUGAAGAUUUUUUUUACAGGGUGUACCAAAGGUAGUCAAAUAUAAGACGUUUUAAUCCAGAGACAGAGAACUAGAAUAAAUCAAAUUUGGUGCUCAAUGUCGAGAGCACUAUAUCACAGACUGUGACGUCAAAUUCGGUCAUUUGCAUUACUAGGUCAGUAGUCCUGUUCACUGUCUACAUGGUAGCCACUAAAAUGAAUGUUAAUGAUCAGAAUAAUAGGAUAAAAUCGAUACUGGAUUGCAUAUUUAAUUACAGACAUCAUGAAUUAUCUAUAGAAUUCAAUUUUUCUAUGGGAACAACCACCGAACUAGGAAAAAGGGUUUGUAAUUCCCCAGAGUAAUACCUUUUUCAAAAUCUCCAUGGGGGAUUUUUUAAAGCACAAGAGGACCAAAUGCUCCUCUUAUAUUGUCAUGUUUUAAAUCUACAUCUUUAUUGUUUGAAUGAGUAUGUAUGUGCUUAAAUACCCUUUAUCUCAUCUAAAUGUCUAUUUUGAGGUGUUCAGUUUAUAUAAUAAAGUUUUCAAAGUCAG
Molecule: long non-coding RNA, 1490 nt
Organism: Mytilus californianus (California mussel)
Lineage: Eukaryota; Metazoa; Mollusca; Bivalvia; Mytilida; Mytilidae
Exons: 3
Source: RefSeq, a predicted model, not a curated record